GCCCGGGUGGCGAAAUGGCAUACGCACAUCACUUAAGAUGAUGCGCCGCAAGGCAUGUGGGUUCGACUCCCGCCCCGGGCACCA
Molecule: transfer RNA, 84 nt
Filed under: bacterium
Lineage: Bacteria
Description: tRNA-Leu
Rfam family: tRNA
About the family: Transfer RNA (tRNA) molecules are approximately 80 nucleotides in length. Their secondary structure includes four short double-helical elements and three loops (D, anti-codon, and T loops). Further hydrogen bonds mediate the characteristic L-shaped molecular structure. tRNAs have two regions of fundamental functional importance: the anti-codon, which is responsible for specific mRNA codon recognition, and the 3' end, to which the tRNAs corresponding amino acid is attached (by aminoacyl-tRNA synthetases). tRNAs cope with the degeneracy of the genetic code in two manners: having more than one tRNA (with a specific anti-codon) for a particular amino acid; and 'wobble' base-pairing, i.e. permitting non-standard base-pairing at the 3rd anti-codon position.
Source: RNAcentral